GACGAAGGAUGCAAGCGUUAUCCGGAUUCAUUGGGUUUAAAGGGAGCGUAGGCGGAUCUGUAAGUCAGUGGUGAAAUCUCUCGCUUUACGAAGAAACUGCCAUUGAUACUGCAGAUCUAGAGUACAGUUGCCGUUGGCGGAAUAUGACAUGUAGUGGUGAAAUACUUAGAUAUGUCAUAGAACACCGAUUGCGAAGGCAGCUAACGAAGCUGUAACUGACACUGAGGCUCGAAAGUGUGGGGAUCAAACAGG
Molecule: unclassified non-coding RNA, 252 nt
Filed under: uncultured Sphingobacteriales bacterium
Lineage: Bacteria; Pseudomonadati; Bacteroidota; Sphingobacteriia; Sphingobacteriales
Description: contains 16S-23S intergenic spacer region
Rfam family: Bacterial small subunit ribosomal RNA
Source: RNAcentral